GCCCGCCCUCGCCUCUGUUGCUGCUGUUACCUGAGCAAGUGCUCCACCGCCGCAAUGAUGUUUGGGAUUGAUCUUAACAUGAGUCCUCCACAAGAUGAUGCCUCAGAACCUGCAGAUCAACAGGAAGAACAGAACAGUGAACAACAAUACAACAAUGAGGAACCAGUCAAUAAUGAAGCAACAUGGGAAGAAGCAAGUGGUGUAGAGGAACCAAUUCAUGAAGAAGCAAGUGGUGUAGAGGAAGCAAUUCAUGAGGAAGCAAGUGCUGUACAGAAACCAAUUCAUGAGGAACUCACAAAUGAGGAGAGAUAUGGUAUUUUUUU
This is a long non-coding RNA of Triticum dicoccoides, 323 nucleotides long. RefSeq lists it as uncharacterized. The record is from RefSeq and is a predicted model, not a curated record. NCBI's taxonomy places the organism in Eukaryota, Viridiplantae, Streptophyta, Magnoliopsida, Poales, Poaceae. The transcript has 3 exons.